RNAcentral lists this ribosomal RNA (496 nucleotides) under uncultured bacterium. RNAcentral's name for it is "bacterial SSU rRNA". It matches the Rfam family "Bacterial small subunit ribosomal RNA", at positions 28 to 517 of the family's 1533-position model. The record is from RNAcentral.
GAUGAACGCUAGCUACAGGCUUAACACAUGCAAGUCGAGGGGCAGCGCAGUGUAGCAAUACAUGGGCGGCGACCGGCGCACGGGUGCGUAACGCGUAUCCAACCUUCCCGAUACUCAGGGAUAGCCUUCCGAAAGGGAGAUUAAUACCUGAUGGUGUUUCAAUUCCGCAUGUUAAUGAAACUAAAGAUUUAUCGGUAUCGGAUGGGGAUGCGUGACAUUAGAUAGUAGGCGGGGUAACGGCCCACCUAGUCUACGAUGUCUAGGGGUUCUGAGAGGAAGGUCCCCCCACACUGGAACUGAGACACGGUCCAGACUCCUACGGGAGGCAGCAGUGAGGAAUAUUGGUCAAUGGUCGGAAGACUGAACCAGCCAAGUAGCGUGAAGGAUGAAGGUUCUAUGGAUUGUAAACUUCUUUGUUCGGGAAUAAAGUGCAGUAUGUAUACUGUUUUGUAUGUACCGUUCGAAUAAGCAUCGGCUAAUUCCGUGCCAGCAGCCG